Molecule: transfer RNA, 71 nt
Filed under: Danio rerio (zebrafish)
Lineage: Eukaryota; Metazoa; Chordata; Actinopteri; Cypriniformes; Danionidae
Description: tRNA-Gly (GCC) (tRNA-Gly-GCC-142-1)
Rfam family: tRNA
About the family: Transfer RNA (tRNA) molecules are approximately 80 nucleotides in length. Their secondary structure includes four short double-helical elements and three loops (D, anti-codon, and T loops). Further hydrogen bonds mediate the characteristic L-shaped molecular structure. tRNAs have two regions of fundamental functional importance: the anti-codon, which is responsible for specific mRNA codon recognition, and the 3' end, to which the tRNAs corresponding amino acid is attached (by aminoacyl-tRNA synthetases). tRNAs cope with the degeneracy of the genetic code in two manners: having more than one tRNA (with a specific anti-codon) for a particular amino acid; and 'wobble' base-pairing, i.e. permitting non-standard base-pairing at the 3rd anti-codon position.
Source: Rfam by way of RNAcentral
GCAUUGGUGGUUCAGUGGUAGAAUUCUCGCCUGCCACAUGGGAGACCCGGGUCCGAUUCCCGGCCAAUGCA